UUCCGGUUGAUCCCGCCGGAGGCCAUUGCUAUCGGAGUCCGAUUUAGCCAUGCUAGUCGAGCGAGGUUAGCCCUCGCGGCGAACAGCUCAGUAACACGUGGCCAAGCUACCCUGCAGAGGGGGACAGCGUCGGGAAACUGACGGGAAUCCCCCAUACCGGUCUCACGCUGGAAUGCCGAGACCGACAAACGCUCCGGCGCUGCAGGAUGCGGCUGCGGCCGAUUAGGUAGUCGGUGGGGUAACGGCCCACCGAGCCGAUAAUUGGUACGGGGUGUGAGAGCACGAGCCCGGAGACGGAAUCUGAGACAAGAUUCCGGGCCCUACGGGGCGCAGCAGGCGCGAAACCUUUACACUGCACGAAGGUGCGAUAAGGGGACUCCGAGUGCGAGGGCAUACAGUCCUCGCUAUUGUGUACCGUAGGGUGGUACACGACCAAGAGCUGGGCAAGACCGGUGCCAGCCGCCGCGGUAAUACCGGCAGCUCGAGUGAUGGCCGAUUUUAUUGGGCCUAAAGCGUCCGUAGCUGGCCCUGCAAGUCCGUCGGGAAAUCCACUCGCCUAACGAGUGGGCGUCCGGCGGAAACUACAGGGCUUGGGACCGGAAGACUUGAGGGGUACGUCUGGGGUAGGAGUGAAAUCCUGUAAUCCUGGACGGACCGCCGAUGGCGAAAGCACCUCAAGACGACGGAUCCGACAGUGAGGGACGAAAGCUAGGGUCUCGAACCGGAUUAGAUACCCGGGUAGUCCUAGCCGUAAACGAUGUUCGCUAGAUGUGGCACAGGCUACGUGCCUGUGCUGUGUCGUAGGGAAGCCGAGAAGCGAACCGCCUGGGAAGUACGUCCGCAAGGAUGAAACUUAAAGGAAUUGGCGGGGGAGCACUACAACCGGAGGAGCCUGCGGUUUAAUUGGAUUCAACGCCGGG
RNAcentral lists this ribosomal RNA (920 nucleotides) under uncultured archaeon. RNAcentral's name for it is "bacterial SSU rRNA". It matches the Rfam family "Archaeal small subunit ribosomal RNA", at positions 1 to 922 of the family's 1478-position model. The record is from RNAcentral.